AACCUUUGCUGUCUUGGGACGGAUCACCACUGCAAGAGGGGAAGUUGCUACUGUGAUGAAUUCUGCCAUGUGGCACCAGACUGCCACCCAGACCACAGUGUCCUCUGCAACCCUGGUAACUCACAUACAGGCCCGAUUCCACCGACAGCAAAGCUGGAUGCUAUGGCUGGCAGAGGCAAACCCUUUGCCUGCACUUCAGGCCAAAGCCGGGAUGUGGCCUAGAUGGUUCCUAAGCUUCUCAGAUGACCAAGAUGGUGCUGCAGAUGGUGCUGAGGAUGGAGAACCCACCAAGCCCCGCUAGGAGCCACCUAGACUGGAUGCAGAGCAUGGUUCAGCGAGUUCUCCAAACCAGCCUCCCAGGAAUGCCAUUCACCAUGGCUGUGAGGAGAAUAAAGAAGAGAGCCUGACUCCUCUCCUGAGGCCCCUUCCCCACCCUGAGCCAGCAGGAUCCACGGAGCAGAGGUCAUCUGUCCCCAGCUUGGCCCACUGAGGCCAGCAUGGCU
This 503-nucleotide unclassified non-coding RNA is filed under the name Homo sapiens (human). RNAcentral's name for it is "MUC20 overlapping transcript (ENSG00000280993.2)". The record is from RNAcentral. Lineage: Eukaryota; Metazoa; Chordata; Mammalia; Primates; Hominidae.